CCUACGUGAGGCAGCAGUGGGGGAUAUUGCACACUGGGGGGAACCCUGAUGCAGCGACGCCGCGUGAGCGAAGAAGUACCUCGGUAUGUAAAGCUCUAUCAGCAGGGAAGAAAAUGACGGUACCUGACUAAGAAGCCCCGGCUAAAUACGUGCCAGCAGCCGCGGUAAUACGUAUGGGGCAAGCGUUACCCGGAUUUACUGGGUGUAAAGGGAGCGCAGGCGGCCUGCCACGUCGGGUGGGAAAACCCGGGGCGCACCCCCGGGCAUGCAUUGGAACAUGGCGGGCUGGAGUGUCGGAGGGGCAGGAGGAAGUCCUAGUGUAGCGGUGAAAUGCGUAGAUAUUAGGAGGGACACCGGUGGCGAAGGCGGCCUGCUGGACGAUGACUGACGCUGAGGCUCGAAAGCGUGGGGAGCAAACAGGAUUAGAUACCCCAGUAGUC
Molecule: ribosomal RNA, 440 nt
Filed under: uncultured bacterium
Lineage: Bacteria
Description: partial 16S ribosomal RNA
Rfam family: Bacterial small subunit ribosomal RNA
Source: RNAcentral